This 492-nucleotide ribosomal RNA is filed under the name uncultured bacterium. RNAcentral describes it as "partial 16S ribosomal RNA". It matches the Rfam family "Bacterial small subunit ribosomal RNA", at positions 29 to 507 of the family's 1533-position model. The record is from RNAcentral.
AGUGAACGCUGGCGGUAGGCCUAACACAUGCAAGUCGAACGGCAGCACAGUAAGAGCUUGCUCUUACGGGUGGCGAGUGGCGGACGGGUGAGGAAUACAUCGGAAUCUACUUUUUCGUGGGGGAUAACGUAGGGAAACUUACGCUAAUACCGCAUACGACCUACGGGUGAAAGCAGGGGAUCUUCGGACCUUGCGCGAUUGAAUGAGCCGAUGUCGGAUUAGCUAGUUGGCGGGGUAAAGACCCACCAAGGCGACGAUCCGUAGCUGGUCUGAGAGGAUGAUCGGCCACACUGGAACUGAACCACGGUCCAGACUCCUACGGGAGGCAGCAGUGGGGAAUAUUGGACAAUGGGCGCAAGCCUGAUCCAGCCAUACCGCGUGGGUGAAGAAGGCCUUCGGGUUGUAAAGCCCUUUCGUUGGGAAAGAAAAGCAGCAGGUUAAUACCCCGCUGUUCUGACGGUACCCAAAGAAUAAGCACCGGCUAACUUCGUG